AGUGAACGCUGGCGGUAGGCCUAACACAUGCAAGUCGAACGGCAGCACAGUAAGAGCUUGCUCUUACGGGUGGCGAGUGGCGGACGGGUGAGGAAUACAUCGGAAUCUACUUUUUCGUGGGGGAUAACGUAGGGAAACUUACGCUAAUACCGCAUACGACCUACGGGUGAAAGCAGGGGAUCUUCGGACCUUGCGCGAUUGAAUGAGCCGAUGUCGGAUUAGCUAGUUGGCGGGGGAAAGGCCCACCAAGGCGACGAUCCGUAGCUGGUCUGAGAGGAUGAUCAGCCACACUGGAACUGAGACACGGUCCAGACUCCUACGGGAGGCAGCAGUGGGGAAUAUUGGACAAAGGGCGCAAGCCUGAUCCAGCCAUACCGCGUGGGUGAAGAAGGCCUUCGGGUUGUAAAGCCCUUUUGUUGGGAAAGAAAAGCAGCAGGUUAAUACCCCGCUGUUCUGACGGUACCCAAAGAAUAAGCACCGGCUAACUUCGUG
Molecule: ribosomal RNA, 492 nt
Filed under: uncultured bacterium
Lineage: Bacteria
Description: partial 16S ribosomal RNA
Rfam family: Bacterial small subunit ribosomal RNA
Source: RNAcentral